AGUGAACGCUGGCGGCGUGCUUAACACAUGCAAGUCGAACGAGAAACGGAUUUAGCUUGCUAAAUUGCAGUCUAAGUGGCGCACGGGUGAGUAAUGUAUAGGUAACAUGCCUUCUACUAGGGGAUAACAGUUGGAAACGACUGGUAAUACCCUAUAUUCCUUAUUAGCACAAGUGUGUAAGGGAAAGAUUCAUUGGUAGAAGAUUGGCCUAUAUUGUAUCAGCUAGUUGGUAGUGUAAUGGACUACCAAGGCUAUGACGCAUAACUGGUUUGAGAGGAUGAUCAGUCACACUGGAACUGAGACACGGUCCAGACUCCUACGGGAGGCAGCAGUGGGGAAUAUUGCACAAUGGGCGAAAGCCUGAUGCAGCAACGCCGCGUGGAGGAUGACACAUUUCGGUGCGUAAACUCCUUUUAUAUGGGAAGAUAAUGACGGUACCAUAUGAAUAAGCACCGGCUAACUCCGU
This 466-nucleotide ribosomal RNA is filed under the name uncultured Campylobacterota bacterium. Its description in RNAcentral is "bacterial SSU rRNA". It matches the Rfam family "Bacterial small subunit ribosomal RNA", at positions 29 to 506 of the family's 1533-position model. Lineage: Bacteria; Pseudomonadati; Campylobacterota. The record is from RNAcentral.